GGAUGCGAUCAUACCAGCACUAAAGCAUCGGAUCCCAUCAGAACUCCGAAGAUAAGCGUGCUUGGGCGAGAGUAGUACUAGGAUGGGUGACCUCCUGGGAAGUCCUCGUGUUGCAUUCC
This 119-nucleotide ribosomal RNA is filed under the name Triticum dicoccoides. Lineage: Eukaryota; Viridiplantae; Streptophyta; Magnoliopsida; Poales; Poaceae. The record is from RNAcentral.